CAAUAGCGUAUAUUAAAGUUGUUGCGGUUAAAAAGCUCGUAGUUGGAGUUCUGCCAGGUGCCGCCUGUCCGCCCCAGUGGUGAGUACGUGGCGCGCAUUUGGCCCUUUCAAGGGGAGCGUAUCUGCACUUUAUUGUGUGGUGCGGGAUCCUUGACUUUUACUUUGAGGAAAUAGGAGUGUUCCAAGCAGGCUCUCGUCGUGCACAGCUCAGCAUGGAAUAAUAGCAUUGGACCUCGAUUCUAAGCUGUUGGUUGCCAGAAGCGAGGUAAUGAUGAAGAGGGAUAGUUGGGGGCAUUCGUAUUUAACUAUCAGAGGUGAAAUUCUUGGAUUUGUUAAAGACGGACUACUGCGAAAGCAUCUGCCAUGGAUGUUUUCAUUGA
This 380-nucleotide ribosomal RNA is filed under the name uncultured eukaryote. RNAcentral's name for it is "partial 18S ribosomal RNA". It matches the Rfam family "Eukaryotic small subunit ribosomal RNA", at positions 592 to 976 of the family's 1831-position model. The record is from RNAcentral.